Molecule: non-coding RNA, 188 nt
Filed under: Lysobacterales bacterium
Lineage: Bacteria; Pseudomonadati; Pseudomonadota; Gammaproteobacteria; Lysobacterales
Description: 6S RNA
Rfam family: 6S / SsrS RNA
About the family: E. coli 6S RNA was the first non coding RNA to be sequenced, but its function was unknown until recently. It consists of 184 nucleotides that fold into an extended hairpin structure with a large single-stranded internal bulge.
Source: RNAcentral
UGUCCUCGGCAGUGUGCGACAGCGCAUUCCAACAUAUUGCCUUGUUCCUGUAGCGACCCCGGGACGGCCUCGCGCCGGUCGGUGUGCAAGUCCGCCUCGAGCGGAAAGCCUGAUGACCCGCGCCUGGCACUCCCACCUGAACCGAUGGUUCAAGGUCGUUAGGUGCGCAUCGGCACAGCGGAGGACGC